AGGCCGUGACAUCCCUGUCCCAGAGACGCUGGGGACGCUGUAUCAACUGCACUGCCGUGAACUAGAGGAGGGGACCCUGACCCGCCUGCUCCUGCUUCACUCCGUAAUGUCCAGCACGCUGAGGGGUGGCUCUGCUCUGAAUAUAGCUCAGCAGCUGGACCUAAACAAAGAGGCCAGAAAAGGGCUGUCUGGCAACAGGAAGGGUCUUCCUUCUGGAGCAAAGUUUGAGCUUCCGUCUGUUGUCUUGGAGUCAGACAGUGACAGCUACAGAUCAUCUAAAACAACACCUACUAGGAAACUGGGGAACCCAGAUACCCAUCUCAGCCCUACAUUCUUUCGCUUGCCAAGAACCCCACUGCACCAGCAGAAAUCAACUGGUGUUGCUGUAGGAAAGAUGACCUCCAAGCUAUGUUCCCCCACUUCCCUGGACUUAAAUAGGAGAAAGUCAGCUGCAGAGAUCGCUCUUGCGCCACUGAGUCUGGAGGCCCUGACAGAGAUUGCUGUUAGCACCAAAAGCAUCUCCCGCAUUGCAGCCAGUCGGCGUUCCAGAGCCCGACAUAGAGACCAUGGGAGUGAACUCACCUCAGGGCAUUUCUUUGAGGAGGAUAUAUUGGAGCCGAAAUAUCUGCAGUCCAGCUUCACUCCAGAGCCUCAUGUGAAAGGCACUGUGAGUAUUGAGAGCCUCUCAGCAGAGUCUCAGAGAAAGGAGCAGCUGCACUACACAGCCAGGAGAGAACUGAAGAAGGAUCAAGAACGAGAGAACUCAGUUGAGAGGAAAGCCAGGAAGAAAAGAUCUCGUUCCCUUGAACCAACCUCGCAAAAGAUCUCGAAAGCAAAGCAUCGGACUCCCUCGAGCCACAAUAUGGACAAUGUUUCUGAGGACCAGCUGCCCCGAGCUAAACUUUUCCAGCCGUUGAAGAUCAUGAGCAAUUUAUCCCAUGGCACUCCUGCCGCCACAAAGGUCAAAUUCCCCACCAGUCACCAUACAGUAAAGGUCUCUGUCUCUCUCUCAUGCUAUCAAGAAGAGAAUCCAUUACAGGUGCUGGAAAUAAGCAACACUCCCCCAAGCACCGUUCAGCAGAGCAAUGCAGGUCAGACCAGAGGCCAGGUCCUACAAAAGCGGGUCAAAGGGCCCAUAGAUGGUGCCAGCAACCAGCCGAAGAACUUCAAGAACCUGCCGAGGUCAAAAUAAAAUCACCAGGGAGAGCAAGAUUCCAUCUGUUCUCGAGGGACCAGGACUACAGGAGUACUAAAAAGUAGGGAGGCUUUUUCUUAAGACGCAUUUUAAGCAGUAUGCUCUGAGGCUGGGAAGUGGAAGGGGAGGUGUGCACACUGCAUUGGUGCUUUCUCCACAGCCUCUCUACAGGUUUUUUUUUCUUUUUCUUUUUUUUUUUUUGCACUGUGCUCCAGCUGUUAGUUUCCUUUAAGAUGAACUGUGGAUUCUUUUGUUAAUAACAUGCAAAAGAAAAGGAAACUCCAUUUGUCCAUCAGCACUCUUAGUCCAGGAGACAGCAGUAUGGAGUCCACCAUGUGGGAUUCUGCAUGCAGCACAUCCUCUCUUUUCUGUGGAAAGCUCCCACACAUGUGGGGGGGUGUGGGAGGCUAUUUAAUUAUUAAAAGAAAUUGCACACUCUUUUGAAGUAGCCCCUGCCCCCUUCUCCGAGGUUUAUACACAUUGUCUUGGAGCUGGAAAAGGUGAAGCCUAUCUGGAAUGCUGCUCAGCUGAGCGGAUGUUUGGCAGUGGGAGCAGCCAGCGGCAUUCUAAGCGCUUGGCCACGUGCAGAGCAUUUCACAUCUGAUAGGAGUGUGAAAAAGAGGUUUGGUGGCUGGCAGAGACUUUGUUAUGAGCUGGGUUGGAGGUGAACAAAGGCAAUGUGUUUUUCUUCUUAAAAACCAAACCCCUCUUUCCAGCAGUUCUCCCUCUGGUUUCUUGGAGGGACAUGCAUUUUGUAAAUCAAUACUAGACUUACCAUUUUCCUUUCUUGGCCCUGUUAUUUUCUUCACGUUGCAAAUAAAGUGGCA
Molecule: long non-coding RNA, 2022 nt
Organism: Gopherus evgoodei (Goodes thornscrub tortoise)
Lineage: Eukaryota; Metazoa; Chordata; Testudines; Testudinidae
Source: Ensembl